CCUCCACUUACGUCAACUAACCGACAACCAUGAGAUCGACCGUCGUAAGGCUACAGACACUGCCAGCCAUGUCCUGCCUCUUAAACAAAACAAAAAAUUACUGUUUUUAGCAUUUUAACGCACACGCCAAGAGCAGACUUAUUGCUCUAUUUUUCUAGGGAUAUAAGCGUCAUUUUUUUUAAAUAAUAAGGAUAAACAAUGUCUUCCCGCACGCAGGAGAGGAGGUCUGGCGUUCAGCUGGUGAGCGCGGCGCUGCUGCUGCUCUCGCUCUCCGGUGUUUCAAGCAUGGAUGUGCUCAUUCCAAAUAACAUUAAUGCACUGAAUGGAACAACUAUCAAAAUCCCCUGCACAUUUACUUCCUGCUAUAAGAUGGAUGUUAGCAGGUUUGCCAUGAACUGGACCUACCAAGAAACACUUAAUGAUACAGAAGACAUGUUUAUGACAUUCAAUAAGAAGAGAGGAAUGGUGCCUCUGCUUUCAGACCGGUUUGGCGACAGGGUGAUGUUUGCUGGAAACCUAGAUAAAAACGACCUGUCAAUCACCUUAUCAAAUGUUCAGAUCGAGGAUGAGGGGAUUUACAACUGCUAUGUGAGAAACCCCCCAGACCGCAUACAGGGACAUGGUGUCAUACAGCUCAUUGUCGUGACUGAACUUCCCCCUCCGAGGGAUUCAACCAUCGCAGUGGCGAUUGGGGCAUCAGUGGGUGGAGCAUUAGCUCUGCUGAUCCUUUCCAUGGUUGUAGUGAAAUGUCUUCGUCGACACAGGAAACAGGAACUGAUUUCAGAGGAGAAGAUGGAGGAGGAGGGAAAACUGGAGGCUGAAGGUGUUGCAGAGGAGGGAACCAAACAACCAUAGCUGGGUCAUCUGAUUGAACCAACGGCUUGUGGAGCUCUCACCCCCAACAUCUUGACAUGUGCACCCCCUUCCUGAAGAUCUAUAGUAACUACUGAUUUGAUCAUUGUCCACCGAUACCGUGUGUGUGUGUGUGCGUGUGCGUGUGUGUGUGUGUGCGUGUGUGCCAGUGCAGGCAUGUGUGCUUCUUUGUACAGUAUGUGUGUGUACUGAUGCGUAUUUCUAUAGGUCUGUGUGAGAUGUGUCUUUUUCCUCUAAAUAAGCCAGUGGACUCUUUUCUGCAACCUAACCAUUAAACACAAAUUACUUCAUUCAGUGGCAUUAGAAGUAGAUCUCAUAAUAACAAAUGGCAUUUUCAUUGCACACUAUAGGACAGGGUAGGGUUGGGCGUUAUGACCUAAAAUGUAUACCACAGUUUAAUUUUAAUAUAAAACGGUAACAAUAUCACAGCAUCACAAUAUCUAAUUGCAUUGCCUGUAGUUAAAUCUAUUAUUAAUAACGUUACUAGUGGCUACGGAGGCAGAGCUGCGUACUUGAUGGAAGUUAAAACCUGCACACUGCAUAGUAAAUGUUAAGUGUAUAUCUGUUAUGUGAUGGUAAAUUGUGCUGUUUGCGCCACAGUCUCACAACAGCUUUUUUUGUGGGGGUGAAAUAUUUUGGUUUAACAUACUGUGAAUCCAGUGUCUUGCAACGUUGCCUUAAAGCAAUGUCUCUCAACUGCCUUUAUAGGCACCAUGUCUUACCAUUGGGGCACAGUUGGUGCAUGUGUAUGUCCUUUCACCAUUGACGUUUCUUAUCUAGAGACAACUGAUUGUCAGUAACUCAACUAAAUGAUGUUUACUGUACAUGUCUCAAUGAUUAGCCAAAAAGCAUUCUGAAACAUUCCUCAUGUCUGUGCAAUGUUUAAUUACAAAAACUAUUGCCCUGCAACAGAAUCUGUUACUGUACUUUGCUUAAUAGACCUGUUUUCACAGCAAAGCACAGGUGUACUACUAACAUUAACAAUGGUUCUGUUCUGUUCAAGCCAAGACAGCAGCUGUGUCCGAAAACACUCCCUAUUUAUCAUAUAGUGCACUAUAUUUACCCUCCGCCAUUUUCUGAAUUUUGAGGUGCUCUCAAAAAUUCAAUAUCGCUAUGGAACAAAAAAGUACUUUGUUUGGCUUUAUGAAGUUGUGAAAAUUAUAGUCCCAUGAUAUUACUCAGUGGUAACACAAAAUUAGCAUGAAGUGUCUGAAAUUUUAUAUUUGGAGUAGUGAAUAAACAAGGGUUUUCAGACAGAGCCAGUGUGACAGAGAGCCAGCAUGAACAAUACCAGUUCCCUGGCUGAAACGGAAAAAGCUAAAUGGAAUUCAGCCAUCAUUAAUGUUAGUAUUUACACAAAAUUUACACAAGUUUUUCUAUUUUGACCUGUCAAAAUGCCUUCUGGCAGUUGAAGCAACAUGUUUUACAUAAUCUCUUUAUUUUUUGGCCCUGCCUAUGUCUUCUGUAUGUCUUUAUGUCUUCAUCCACUUUUUGGUAGCAUGCACAAAGAUUUAUUUUAGUGUAAAACGGGAUUGGUAGGCUUGUGUU
Etheostoma cragini (Arkansas darter) is the source of this 2421-nucleotide RNA transcript. It is a transcript of the gene named sodium channel, voltage-gated, type II, beta, with no coding region annotated. Lineage: Eukaryota; Metazoa; Chordata; Actinopteri; Perciformes; Percidae. The transcript has 6 exons. The record is from RefSeq and is a predicted model, not a curated record.